RNAcentral lists this ribosomal RNA (503 nucleotides) under Cardiocondyla elegans. RNAcentral describes it as "partial 16S large subunit ribosomal RNA". The stretch from base 1 to 168 matches the Rfam family "Archaeal large subunit ribosomal RNA", at positions 1889 to 2102 of the family's 2987-position model. Lineage: Eukaryota; Metazoa; Arthropoda; Insecta; Hymenoptera; Formicidae. The record is from RNAcentral.
CACCUGUUUAUCAAAAACAUGGUUUUUAGAUUAUGAUUUAAGAUUGGUCCUGCUCAAUGAAAAUUUUUAAAUAGCUGCAGUAAAUUGACUGUACAAAGGUAGCAUAAUCAGUUGCUUUUUAAAUGGAAGCUAGGAUGAAGGGAUUGAUGAGAUUUAAACUGUUUCAGGAUAAAUUAAUGAAUUUAUAUAUUAAGUUAAAAUUCUUAAAUAAUUUUAAGGGACGAGAAGACCCUAUAGAAUUUUAUAUAAAAUUUUGAAUAAUUUUUAAAUGUUAUAUGAAAAAUUUAUAUUUAGUUGGGAGGAUUAUUAAAUUUUUAGAACUUUAAUUAAAAUUUAAAUAUUAAUGAAUAAGUUUAGGAUUGGAUUGUAAAAUUAAAAAGAAUUAAUUACCUUAGGGAUAACAGCGUAAUAUUUUUGGAGAGUUCAUAUUAAUAAAAAUGUUUGCGACCUCGAUGUUGAAUUAAGAUAAAAAUUAAAUGUAGAAGUUUAAUAUUUAAGUCUGU